AUGUCCUUUUGGCGCAUCUUUUGUUUUCAACACCUCUACUGCAUCAAGGACGGAGAUACCGGAGCGGUACGCGGACACAUGAUCAGGAUUUUCCCUUCAGAAUCACGUCGCCCUCCAGGAGAAAUCUCGCUUCAGCUGCCUGCAUCUGCGUGCAGAGACGGAGCCAUGGAUGAGAGGAAGCUGGAGCAGCAGGUGGCCAGUGUAGGGAGAGGGAUCGCCUUCUUGGAGCAGGAGCACCUGGCCAUGCUGACCGGCCUGCGGCUGGAGAUCACACACCUGAGGAGGCGCUGUCAUGAGCUAAGCUGUGAGUUGGAGUCCAGGUUUCCUGACAGAAUCAUCGGAGAGGAGGAAGCAGAACUGGCCACACGGUGUGAGGCUGCAGUGCUUCUCUUAGAGGACCAGCAGUGCAUGAUGGUCGCCGCGCGUGGGGAGCUGCGGGCCGGCCGGGCCAGAGCGUCAGCCCUGGGAAGAAGCCUCAGAGAAGAGGAGCGGAGUUUCCUGGAGGAGCUGAAGCGCAGGAGCCACCAGAUCACGCUGCUGAAUCCGGCAGAGCGCAGAGACAUCUGGAGAGGAGGAAGCAAGGCGGGAUGAGGAGGAGGAAGAGGAUGACGAAGAGGAGGAGGGCGGUGAUAAUGAAGAUGAAGGAUCGUUGUGGCUUUUGUCCCCACCUCCGCCAGCCUCCCCUCAUCUUCCAGAGGCGAGUCACAGGGGGCGUGUCAGCAGCGUCAGGGAGGAGAGGGUCCGAGCUUGCGUCCCUCAGGAGAGAGUGACAUCGCCUCAAAGGCCACACCCUAUGCCUGACCCCGCCCUCUUCUUGUUUCCACUAAGAUACCGCCUCCUUCGCUAUAACCCUCCAAUCAAAACACCGGACGGAGAUGGGCUGGAGGAUGAAUGGGAGGACAUAGAGGACAUCAGGGUACACAGGCGGGUGGACAUGGAGGCAGGAGAAGGAGAAACUGCACUGUGAUGAUGGUAUUCAAGACUGUGAUGUCUUCCACAAAGUCUCAGUUAACCUGAUGUGAUGUUCCAGAAAAUGGUAAUGAUUGAAGCGGGGCUUUCUGUAGGUUUCAGGUUAAGUAUUUAGAGUUAGUUGGGUGUGUGUGUGAUUUUAGUCACAAGUCAACUUAAAAUGCCCCAUCAGUGGAUCAGAAAAUAAGGAUCAGCACUAAUGGACUUUCCUCUGGACGCCUCUUGAUUAUAACACUGUUGAUCACAGCUUUUGCCCGUAAUUAGUAGCCUUGUCUGUGAGCGUGUAAACAUUUCCAGCCUCUAAAGUGGGCCCCUGAUUUUUCACAGCACCAGUUGUAAUCGAGGGGAAUUGCAUCACUUCUAAAGGCUUUGAUAUAUUUUGUAUAAUUUGCACUUUAUUAAAUCCAUGCAAUGUGGCUAGUAAUGGCCCAGUAAUUGUGGUGUGAGACUGUUUGUUUACAGC
This 1432-nucleotide long non-coding RNA is filed under the name Takifugu rubripes (torafugu). RNAcentral describes it as "lncRNA (ENSTRUG00000026228.1)". The record is from RNAcentral. Lineage: Eukaryota; Metazoa; Chordata; Actinopteri; Tetraodontiformes; Tetraodontidae.